This 253-nucleotide ribosomal RNA is filed under the name uncultured bacterium. RNAcentral's name for it is "partial 16S ribosomal RNA". It matches the Rfam family "Bacterial small subunit ribosomal RNA", at positions 524 to 776 of the family's 1533-position model. The record is from RNAcentral.
UACGGAGGAUUCGAGCGUUAUCCGGAUUUAUUGGGCGUAAAGGGAGCGCAGGCGGUGAUUUAAGUCUGAUGUGAAAGCCCACGGCUCAACCGUGGAAUGGCAUUGGAAACUGGGUCGCUUGAGUGCAGAAGAGGAAAGCGGAAUUCCAUGUGUAGCGGUGAAAUGCGUAGAGAUAUGGAGGAACACCGGUGGCGAAGGCGACUCUCUGGACUGUAACUGACGCUGAGGCUCGAAAGCGUGGGGAGCAAACAGG